This 442-nucleotide ribosomal RNA is filed under the name uncultured bacterium. Its description in RNAcentral is "partial 16S ribosomal RNA". It matches the Rfam family "Bacterial small subunit ribosomal RNA", at positions 338 to 795 of the family's 1533-position model. The record is from RNAcentral.
CCUACGGGUGGCAGCAGUGGGGAAUAUUGGGCAAUGGGCGCAAGCCUGACCCAGCAACGCCGCGUGAAGGAAGAAGGCUCUCGGGUUGUAAACCUCCUUUUAGAGGGAAGAGCAGAAGACGGUACCUCUUGAAUAAGCCACGGCUAACUACGUGCCAGCAGCCGCGGUAAUACGUAGGUGGCCAGCGUUGUCCGGAUUUACUGGGUGUAAAGGGCGUGCAGCCGGGAAGACAAGUCAGAUGUGAAAUUCCGCGGCUCAACCGCGGAACUGCAUUUGAAACUGUUUGUCUUGAGUACCGGAGAGGUCAGCGGAAUUCGUGGUGUAGCGGUGAAAUGCGUAGAUAUAACGAAGAACACCGGUGGCGAAGGCGGAUGACUGGACGGCAACUGACGGUGAGGCGCGAAAGCGUGGGGAGCAAACAGGAUUAGAUACCCCUGUAGUC